Molecule: small nuclear RNA, 107 nt
Organism: Sorex araneus (European shrew)
Lineage: Eukaryota; Metazoa; Chordata; Mammalia; Eulipotyphla; Soricidae
Source: Ensembl
GUGCUCGCUUUGGCAGCACAUAUACUAAAAUUGGAACGAUACAGAGAAGAUUAGCAUGGCCCCUGCACAAGGAUGACAGGCAAAUUUGUGAAGCGUUCCAUAUUUAA